RNAcentral lists this long non-coding RNA (1376 nucleotides) under Anas platyrhynchos platyrhynchos (common mallard). RNAcentral's name for it is "lncRNA (ENSAPLG00000027754.1)". Lineage: Eukaryota; Metazoa; Chordata; Aves; Anseriformes; Anatidae. The record is from RNAcentral.
CUCGAGCAAGGCAGUUACUUCACCGUGCCUGUUACAGUGCUGACACCAGAGCUGGUGCUCCCAGCCUCGUGCAGUUUGAAGCACUUUUGACAACAACUCCACGUGGGAGCAGGCUGGCUGCUGCGCAGGACGUUUGGAGAUGCUUUAGUUGCCCAGAGGGAUGGCAGAGAAGGGGAACCCUGCGUGAUUUCCCAUCCCAAUUCAGCUACAGACCGGGGAAAUCCCAUUUUUGCUGCUCUAAGAACACCAAUCGAGUCUGGAGAAGCCAAAACCGAAUGGUUCCAGCAGACCCUGAUGAAGAAAACCCUCUUCCAGAGAGGAAAAGGCACACGGAGAGCAGAAGACGAAUUUGUGCAUCCCCUUCACCUGCCGGAUGGCAUCGCCGUGUCCUCAGCUUCUCCAGGAAGCAGCCACACCUUUCCCUCCUGCAUCCCGUGCCGUUGCAGGCAGCACCGAGCUGAUGCCACUGUUUUUUGUUUUUUUUUUGGGGUGAUGCCCUUCCCUGUGGCACCCAUCACCCAACCCAAAUCCACCCCACAGGGCACCCAGUGCCCCACCAGUCCCAGGAGCUGCUCCAUGCCUGCCUGGAGCGCUCAAAACCCCACCGCAAACCUUUCCCGAGCCGCCCAGGCUCAAAACUUCGUCCGAAAUACCUCCGUGUCAUCCUGCAAGUCAUCAAAAAGUUUCUCGGGCAGCGCUGGAGGUGCCUCUUCCUCGGGCUCGGGGUUGUGGGGCUGUGAGCGCUGCGGUGCGCGGGGCGCUUUGCGCACGCGGGCGUACACGGGGCAGGGGCUGCCCUCACCGCACGGCUCCUCCUGGAUGAGCAAACCCUGCUUGGGGUCGUCCCCAAUGUCCCUAGAAUCCCCACAGGGGUUGUCCCCAAUGUCCUCAACGUCCCCAAAAUCCCCCGUGGCACCACAGGGCUUCCUCAGCCUGCCGCUGAGCUUCUUGGCUUUGUAGCGGAUGCUUUCGUAGAUGGGCCCCUCGCCUUCCCCCGCCGGCUCCACCGCGGGCGUUUGGGGCUCCCCGGGGACGAGCGGGAGCUGGCGGUGCCGCAGAAAAUCCGGGGUCCUCGUGGGGGAGCCGGGAGGUGGCCCCCCGAGGCCAUCCGGGUCCCCCCCAGCGGUGCCAUUUGUCCUGCUGCCUGUAGGGAGGGAGAGGUUGAGCAGGGGGGCACCCCACUAAUUUGGGGAUAAAAUAUUAACGAUUAAACGUGACGAAAUGAGAACUCUGGAGGGGUUUCCCCCGCCUGCCAACACCCAUAUUUCCCCCCCCAGCUCUUUGCUUUUUUACAAGAGCUGAAACAGAAAGCAAAGGCAAACCCAGGCGAGCGUCCCGGGGCUGCUAAUGGGGGCUGUGGGGUGCCCGGAGCCGCC